GUACUGUAGCUCAGUUGGUAGAGUCUCCUUUCUAGAUAGCAUUGUUGUCAUCUUGAUGAGGAAUGUGUGCGUUCAAUUCCCAUCAGUGGCA
Mycena capillaripes is the source of this 91-nucleotide non-coding RNA. Lineage: Eukaryota; Fungi; Basidiomycota; Agaricomycetes; Agaricales; Mycenaceae. The record is from the annotation of a GenBank genome assembly.